RNAcentral lists this ribosomal RNA (568 nucleotides) under uncultured bacterium. Its description in RNAcentral is "bacterial SSU rRNA". It matches the Rfam family "Bacterial small subunit ribosomal RNA", at positions 917 to 1482 of the family's 1533-position model. The record is from RNAcentral.
GGACCCGCACAAGCAGCGGAGCAUGUGGUUUAAUUCGAAGCAACGCGAAGAACCUUACCAAGGUUUGACAACCCCUUGACAGAUGCAGAGAUGUGUCCUCCCCUUCGGGGGCAAGGGAGACGGGUGGUGCAUGGUUGUCGUCAGCUCGUGUCGUGAGAUGUUGGGUUAAGUCCCGCAACGAGCGCAACCCUUAUCCUUAGUUGCCAGCAAGUAAAGUUGGGCACUCUAAGGAGACUGCCGGUGAUAAACCGGAGGAAGGUGGGGAUGACGUCAAAUCAUCAUGCCCCUUAUAUCUUGGGCUACACACGUGCUACAAUGGUCGGUACAAAGGGAAGCGAAAGAGUGAUCUGGAGCAAAUCUCAAUAAACCGAUCCCAGUUCGGAUUGUAGGCCGCAACUCGCCUACAUGAAGUUGGAGUUGCUAGUAAUCGCGAAUCAGAACGUCGCGGUGAAUGCGUUCCCGGGUCUUGUACACACCGCCCGUCACACCAUGGAAGUUGGUAAUACCCGAAGUCGCUGAGCUAACCGUAAGGGGGCNGGCGCCGAAGGUAGGAUCAAUGACUGGGGUG